Long non-coding RNA from Scatophagus argus, 1779 nucleotides. RefSeq lists it as uncharacterized. The record is from RefSeq and is a predicted model, not a curated record. NCBI's taxonomy places the organism in Eukaryota, Metazoa, Chordata, Actinopteri, Scatophagidae. The transcript is spliced from 6 exons.
AUGAUUUCUUUCUCUUUUCUCCCAGAGUGCCUCAAUUUACAAAUGUGCCCUAAACGCCUCACAAGCAGAUGCACGAUCAGACCCGCCCCCCUCGCCGUGGGAGGACCCGACUGCUUCUGUGGUGCUGCUGCCUGCUGGGAGGCUUCAUGUUGUCCGAACAUCCGGAUGUCGGCCUGCUCACAGGGUUGUUUUUCCGAUGGUGACCCGAACGUGACUGAGAAGCCGUGAAUCCAGGAGUCUGAUGUAUGAAAACCAGAACGUGAUCAGAAGACGUGAGGCUCACGUUGGGAGCGGACGCCAUCAGCUGACUGGGAUUCAUACGACACGACGACACGCACUCACGUCUGUCUGAGUUUUCCACAUGUGACUCCUGGACAGACGAGACGCCGAGCUGCUUCGGACGCUUUUUCUUUGGGAACAUCUGAAAUGGCGUUGUGUGUUUGGUCACGUGGUCAUCGGACGACCUGGAGGUGCGGUCUGUUUGUCACGCGAGGACGCCGACCACAGCAGCGACGCACCGCGAGGCCGUCAGGGUGGCUUCUAACUGGGCAGGUCUGUGCUUCAGUUCAACCAGGGAAAACAUCUGGUGCUUCUUCCUGUUCAGAGUCACUUCCUGUUCCUGUUCGUGAUUGUAGUUUGAAGCCAACCAGAACAGAACUGCAGCAGCGAGUCUCCAGCUUCCGAACUCUGCGUGACAAACUGAGGCGCGAAGACAUUGGGGUCGCGGGUUCGAUUCCCCCUCGUGGUGGCUGUUAAGGCGCUUUGGAGAAAAGCGGCGCCGGGCGGCGGAAUCUGAAGCGUUUACAGGCAUUUCCAUACGAACACGCUGCAACACAGAAACAGAUGGGAACAGGUUAACAUGACGAACCCAACGGCGCCCCCUGCGGACGCUCGUUUACAGGAACAAAACUUUAUUCGUACGUCGUGCAGAGACGAGUUUACGCCUUUAAUAUCUGCAGACUGCAGAACAGUUUAGUUUCUGACGUGUUUCUGGUGUAAACUGUGGAAUUCGAAGUGAGUGUCGGCCUGUUAUUGAUCAGCGAUCGGGUCACCUGCAGUCGUCUCCUCCCGUGCUGAUCACGUAUUUGUCUUCGUGGGAGAAGCGGAUGUUGGUCACGUGAGCUGAGUGGCCGAGGGGAAGUCGAACAGUUUGACCAAUCCGAAGUCGUCGCCGGUGACGACGUUCAGGCCGGCGUGAGACACACACGCACAGUUGACUUCAGCUUUGUCUGCAUUUCGGGGCCAAAUUCCCAAAACUUCAUCUCCCAGGAUGCUGAGGGAGGAAGAAGACGAAGAAGAAGAAGAAGAAGAAGAAGAAGAAGAGGUAAACCAGUGAGGACAGCGAGAGGACAGACUACAGGCCAGAUACGACGAGACAAAGGAAGAAACCACCGUGCGUUGCCAUGGUUACCGGUGCUGAGACUGUGGACGAUGGCGGUGGAGGCAGUGUGGUAGACGAUGUCAGUGCCAUCGUUGAGGUAGUGCAGGUUGUUACGACAAUCGAAGCCCCGAAAGCCAAAGACGUGAUCCAAAAUCAGGUCCUACAGAGGGACAAGACACGGGAGACAGGAAGUGGAAGUCUUGUCUUUGGUCUGUUGUCCAUCACAGACCAGGUCCUGUCAUCUGAUGAAUACACACUGAAUGGAUCUUUAUCUGCUCGUGUGUGGAAACGUGUUCGAGCGGCAUGAACGAGUGAUGACGAGAGAACGAGUGCGGGACAGGAAGCAGGUGAUGGACGGAAGAGGGAUCGCUCUCGAUAACGCAAAGAUGACAGGAAGU